GGAAUAUUGCACAAUGGGCGCAAGCCUGAUGCAGCGACGCCGCGUGAGGGAUGACGGCCUUCGGGUUGUAAACCUCUUUCAGUAGGGAAGAAGCCGCAAGGUGACGGUACCUGCAGAAGAAGCGCCGGCUAACUACGUGCCAGCAGCCGCGGUAAUACGUAGGGCGCAAGCGUUAUCCGGAAUUAUUGGGCGUAAAGAGCUCGUAGGCGGUUUGUCGCGUCUGCCGUGAAAGUCCGGGGCUCAACUCCGGAUCUGCGGUGGGUACGGGCAGACUAGAGUGAUGUAGGGGAGACUGGAAUUCCUGGUGUAGCGGUGAAAUGCGCAGAUAUCAGGAGGAACACCGAUGGCGAAGGCAGGUCUCUGGGCAUUAACUGACGCUGAGGAGCGAAAGCAUGGGGAGCGAACAGGAUUAGAUACCCUAG
RNAcentral lists this ribosomal RNA (422 nucleotides) under uncultured Pseudarthrobacter sp. Its description in RNAcentral is "bacterial SSU rRNA". It matches the Rfam family "Bacterial small subunit ribosomal RNA", at positions 358 to 790 of the family's 1533-position model. Lineage: Bacteria; Bacillati; Actinomycetota; Actinomycetes; Micrococcales; Micrococcaceae. The record is from RNAcentral.